GAGUUUGAUCAUGGCUCAGGACGAACGCUGGCGGCGUGCCUAACACAUGCAAGUCGAACGGGAACAGCCUGAAGCUUGCUUCGGACUGUUUUAGUGGCGGACGGGUGAGUAACGCGUGAGGAACCUGCCUUUCAGAGGGGGAUAACGUCUGGAAACGGACGCUAAUACCGCAUGACAUCAGAGGGUCACAUGGCUUUCUGAUCAAAGGAGCAAUCCGCUGAAAGAUGGACUCGCGUCCGAUUAGCCAGUUGGCGGGGCAAAGGCCACCAAAGCGACGAUCGGUAGCCGGGCUGAGAGGCUGAACGGCCACAUUGGGACUGAGACACGGCCCAGACUCCUACGGGAGGCAGCAGUGGGGGAUAUUGCACAAUGGAGGAAACUCUGAUGCAGCAACGCCGCGUGAGGGAAGACGGUCUUCGGAUUGUAAACCUUUGUCCUCGGUGACGAUAAUGACGGUAGCCGAGGAGGAAGCUCCGGCUAACUACGUGCCAGCCG
RNAcentral lists this ribosomal RNA (495 nucleotides) under bacterium enrichment culture clone ALO1_GLFRUDD03F98MV. Its description in RNAcentral is "bacterial SSU rRNA". It matches the Rfam family "Bacterial small subunit ribosomal RNA", at positions 9 to 514 of the family's 1533-position model. The record is from RNAcentral.